AGGUCGCUUUUGGGAGGAUCUGGUAAGAGGAAAAGCUGAAAUGAACUUUUUGGUAGCGUGCAAUAUCUUUGCUGCUUUUUUAUUACUUUGGACAAUUUAAUGUUGCUUGAAAUUUUGCUUCCUUUGUUGUAAGAAUCCCUAAUGAAGGCCUGUAAAUUGUGUUUGACUAUUGGCAAGAUAGUGCAUGCACAUGCACACAAACUCACUUUGU
This 211-nucleotide unclassified non-coding RNA is filed under the name Hevea brasiliensis (rubber tree). The record is from RNAcentral. Lineage: Eukaryota; Viridiplantae; Streptophyta; Magnoliopsida; Malpighiales; Euphorbiaceae.